UCAAAUUCCUCAGUUUCCCCAAUUGCUCCCCCUUUCAACACUGUAACUUCAUCAAAAUCCACUUCCAAUUUCGCCUCCUCUGCACAAUCCCCCAUCUUCCCAGACUCAGCUAACCCUAAUUCACAGGUCUUCUCUUCUUCAGGAAAGAUCCCUCCUUUCUCACCAGAACCGACUGAAUCUUCAACCGUCGACUCCGAAAACCUCGCAUCCUCAUCGGAGACGUCUUUUUUUGGUAUCCGAUCGCCGGAAUCGAAGGUGAAAUAGUCGAGCUUGAUGGCGUCUGAUUCGGGAUCGAAUUCUUCAAAGGGGGUGGGGGAAUUUGGAGAGUUGGGGAGCAAUUCCCAAUCGGAAAGCUCACCGGAGUCUGACAUCAACGGUGGGCGGCGGCGGCGAGGGCGGCGGCGGAGACGGGGGAGGGAAAGGCG
Molecule: unclassified non-coding RNA, 425 nt
Filed under: Hevea brasiliensis (rubber tree)
Lineage: Eukaryota; Viridiplantae; Streptophyta; Magnoliopsida; Malpighiales; Euphorbiaceae
Source: RNAcentral